This 241-nucleotide ribosomal RNA is filed under the name uncultured Staphylococcus sp. RNAcentral's name for it is "partial 16S ribosomal RNA". It matches the Rfam family "Bacterial small subunit ribosomal RNA", at positions 99 to 334 of the family's 1533-position model. Lineage: Bacteria; Bacillati; Bacillota; Bacilli; Caryophanales; Staphylococcaceae. The record is from RNAcentral.
CGGACGGGUGAGUAACACGUGGAUAACCUACCUGUAAGACUGGGAUAACUUCGGGAAACCGGAGCUAAUACCGGAUAAUAUUUUGAACCGCAUGGUUCAAAAGUGAAAGACGGUCUUGCUGUCACUUAUAGAUGGAUCCGCGCUGCAUUAGCUAGUUGGUAAGGUAACGGCUUACCAAGGCAACGAUGCAUAGCCGACCUGAGAGGGUGAUCGGCCACACUGGAACUGAGACACGGUCCAG